RNAcentral lists this unclassified non-coding RNA (635 nucleotides) under Aesculus chinensis var. wilsonii. RNAcentral's name for it is "partial contains internal transcribed spacer 1, 5.8S ribosomal RNA, and internal transcribed spacer 2". The stretch from base 255 to 410 matches the Rfam family "5.8S ribosomal RNA". The record is from RNAcentral. Lineage: Eukaryota; Viridiplantae; Streptophyta; Magnoliopsida; Sapindales; Sapindaceae.
GUAGGUGACCUGCGGAGGAUCAUUGUCGAAACCUGCCGAGCAGAACGACCCGCGAACUCCGUUUCAUCGCCGGGGGGGACCGCGGUUCCCCUCGCGCGCCGCGCGGGGGCAAGGGCGCCCGCGCUUGUUCCGGCGGCAUAACAGCGAACCCCGGCGCGGACCGCGUCAAGGAAUUUCAACAAGAGAGCGCGCUCCCGCCGCCACCGGAAACGGUGCGCGUGCUCGCGGCGGCGCCUUCUUUCAUUAUCUAAAACGACUCUCGGCAACGGAUAUCUCGGCUCUCGCAUCGAUGAAGAACGUAGCGAAAUGCGAUACUUGGUGUGAAUUGCAGAAUCCCGUGAACCAUCGAGUCUUUGAACGCAAGUUGCGCCCCAAGCCAUUCGGCCGAGGGCACGUCUGCCUGGGUGUCACGCACCGUUGCCCCCGAACCCCUCCCCUUCUCGUACGGGGCGGGGACCGUGGGCGGAGAUUGGCCUCCCGGGAGCCUCGUCUCGCGGUUGGCCCAAAUACGAGUCCUCGGCGGUGCGCGCCGCGGCGUUCGGUGGUGGAAAAGACCUCGAGCCCUCGCCGCGCGCGCGCCGUCGGUCCAAGGCUCCCGGACCCUCGAGUGCCGUCGAAAAGGCACGCAUCGCGAC